AAACAGCAAAAUAGCGACCUUGAGUCCUUUUUUAGAUAAAGACGGAAUUUUGAGAGUGGGAGGACGCCUCAGUAACUCAAACGUCAGCAGCGCAGCCAAACAUCCAAUAAUACUAUCUAGUCACUGUCGUUUAAGUGACCUAGUUAUCAACCAAGCGCACAUCACUACCUUACAUGGUGCUCCACGGUUGACCUUGUCCUACAUAAGAGAAAACUAUUGGAUUUUAAGCGGCAUGAGAACAGUCAAACGACAGCUGAGACAGUGCAUUCCAUGUCGACGCUUCAGUUCAGAAAAACACCAUCAAAUAAUGGCUGAUCUUCCUCGAGCGAGAGUUACCCCCUCCCGCCCCUUCGCACACACCGGUGUAGAUUUUACCGGUCACGUGGACUUGAAGCUAAGCAGGGGCAGGGGAGCAAAGACGUACAAGGGAUAUGUAGCUGUAUUUAUCUGCCUAGCGACAAAGGCUGUUCACCUAGAAUUGGUGUCAGACCUUAGUACUCCAGCGUUUUUAGCAGCGUUCCGCCGUUUCUGUGCACGGCGAGGGACUCCCUGCCGCAUGUACAGUGAUAACGGUACAAAUUUUGUCGGAGCGAAGCGAGCGAUAGAUAAAGAGUAUAAAGAAAUCUUACGUACCUUGAAUACAGAUUUCUUUAAUAGCAUCAAUCACAUGAACAUUGAGUGGUCGUUCAAUGCACCAGCAUGGCCAAGCGCAGGUGGUUUAUGGGAAGCCGCCGUAAAAAGCUUUAAAAGGCACCUAAAACGAGUCCUAGGUGAGCAGAAACUUACAUACGAGGAGAUGACUACUCUAAUUCAGCAAAUCGAAGCCUGCUUGAACUCGCGUCCUUUGUUUCCUUUAACAGAGAACCCAGAGGACACGUAUUUAACACCUGGUCACUUUCUCAUAGGUGACUCCUUACUAUCAAGACCUCAGACUGAUCCAGAUAACGUUAGCUUACCUGCACGAUGGCAACUGGUGCAGAUCAUGAAUAAGCAAUUCUGGAAGCUUUGGUCGUCCGAUUAUCUUCAGCAUCUUCAGGCCCGGUCUAAAUGGACCAGCCCUACUAAAAACUUCGAAAUUGACGAUAUCGUUAUUAUAAAAGACGAAAAUUUAGCUCCAGGAAAGUGGGCACUUGGCAGAGUCCAAGAAUUACACCCUGGAAAAGAUGGAUACGUCAGAGUUGUAUCUAUAAAAACCGAGAACAACGUCCUUAAACGUCCUGUAACAAAGCUCAUCCCCCUUCCCGUCGAAAAAACUAACGAUGAUACCACUACAACGAAGCCAAGCGAUCAGCAACCCCAAGUAUCUUCAAACAAUGAGAAAAGGGCAAGCAGAAGCAAGCGUAGCGUAUUUACAAACUUCAUCUCUCUAGCAUUGCUCUUAUUGACUAUGUUUAUAUCUCCAUCUAUGCAGCAAAACAUUAAUAGCAAUGUGACAGCACUAGAAGAUAAUAGAGCGUUGUAUUUUGACACGAUUUCGAAUAUACAGUACAUUCGAGAUGAGUGGAGAUUGGUUGUGUACUACAACCUUACUAGCUACUGGCAAGCAUUGGAAGACAUGGAGAUGUACAUUCGUCAUUUAAAGAGCUUAACUUUGAAUUUAAAAGGCAUGUCAAUCCAAUCUAAUGCACAGUAUAUGAGUAUUGCUAACCAACUAGCGCAUGAACUUACGGAAAUUGAGCACUAUAAUCGACUUCUACAUAGCAGCAGACGCCAAAAAAGAGGCCUAGUUAAUGGUAUUGGGUCCGUAGCGAACUAUCUAUUUGGUGUUUUAGACGACAACUUUGCUCUUCAAUAUGCUAAAGAUAUUGAAAAGAUUAGCUACAACGAAAAUCAUGUUAAACAACUCAUCAAGAAUCAAACAACAAUUAUCGAAGCGGAAUACAACAUAAUACAGCGAAACGAACAAAUCAUGAACAAACAAUUCUCAUUAAUAAAUACAUAUUUAAGAGAAACAGCAACAGAGCUAACUCAAUUACGUAAUGACGUCCACAAUGGACUCUACAUAACGUCGUCGGCUUUAGCAGCCAACAUCAUCCUAGAGAACCUGAGACGUAUACAAACCUCACUUAUCGAUACCGUUACUGACAUCACUCACGGGCGCAUCGAUACGCACCUGUUGUCUAGCGAGCAAUUAGAGCAACAAAUAAAUUUUAUAUCAGGCCAGCUACAUGGUGAUCUAAAAGUACCUGUAGAGACACAUAACAUUCGUGACCUAUACAAGCUACUUAAGGUAUUCGCCAAGGUCUACAAAAAAUACCUUAUCAUCGAGAUUAAGGUCCCACUGGUCAAUAACGAUAUCUACGAGCUUGAUAAGAUUAUCACCGUUCCACGCAACACAGAAGCAGUUUCCUACCUGACUGUACCUACUUACCCUUACCUAGCGUUUAAUCUAAGAAAAGAAGCAGUUAUAUUUUUAACUGAACAUGAUCUGCAAACGUGUCUUCAUGCAUCUGAAGAGAGAAUGCUAUGCUCUUUAGAUAAACCUAUUUAUGAUUUAGAUCUCAAGCAAAAUUUAUGUAACCUAAGUAUAAUAGAUGCAGGAAAAAUAACUUCGCCCUGUAUGUACGAGCAAGCUCCUUGUAACAAUAGGUGGAUCAAGUUACACCUACAGAAUGUCUGGUUGUACUCAUGUUGCCACGAGUGCAACAUUCGCACAUUUUGUCCAGCUGGUAUGACAGUCAGCACAAUAGCGGGCAACGGCCUUCUCGAUAUAGGUCAAGGUUGCACUCUCAAGGGAGACUCAUUUACGAUAUAUGCUCAUAAUGACUUUGUAAAAAAGGGGUUGCACUCUCAAGGGAGACUCAUUUACGAUAUAUGCUCAUAAUGACUUUGUAAAAAAGGUAAAUAUAGACUUAAAUAUCGAAGCCCCAAAGAUAUCAAUUCUCAACAAACUGAUAAACACCUCAACAAUUAGCGAUCUUACUACAGAAAGUCACCAGCAAGCUUAUCAUGAGAUAAUGGAUGAAUUAAAUGUGGUAAAGCAAGAAUCAGCAUCGGAUCUCAGCGUCCAUGACAUCCACCAGUACUCAAUCAGCUAUGGAAUAGUUGUAGUACUUCUGAUAGCAGCGCUAGUGGCAAUCUUUCUUCGAGUCCGAAGGAAAAGGUCUCGGCGCAUGCAGCUUUCGAGACAUCCAGCUGUCCUUAGGAGGGGACAUCCGGUGAACAUCGAGCGGCAGUGUGUGUCUAGUGAACAAGAAGUGCAACCUCAGUGUAGUGAAUUGCGUAAAUCAGUGAGCAUGGGCGUGUUAAGUGUUGACAGAGGCUCGGCGCCUCCUAAGCCCCCGAGGUCCGUGUCGAUCUCUAUUCCUUGUGAAUCCCUCGGGGAAAUAAUUGAGUCAUCCGAUUAAGUGCUAUUUAUUUACUGGACAAUAUUAUGGACACUAAGUUCACUAUUUAAACUCUUAUGUAAUUCUAUUUUAUUACAAAUCUUUACGUAUUUCAUAACUUCUUAAGCAUCUUAUCAAUUGUUUUUAUAUCAAUGUUAUUAACUAGCAUAAUUUUGAAGUUCCUAAGCGUUUCUAUCAAUGUUUUCACCUAGCAUAUCUUUUUGAGCUUAAUGUACAAACUAGCUUCUGACUUAGCAUAUUACUUUGUAUCAUUUUAAGCGAUUUGUCCUUUUUUCUUCUCUGAUUGGCAAGAUGUACGGGCUAACCGCACAUAAAAAUUGUACAUUUCUUACUUGACCUAGUUUAAAUUUAGCUAAGUUAGCUUUACGUCAUUGCUCGUCACUAUGCGUUACAAUAUUGGUGAAUUCAAUAAAUCAGUGUACGUUCAACACUCGUCGGGUUUGGUUAUUAGCUCUCCUUGGAGCCACAAUCCCUUCAGCGUCCCUUAGCGAAUCCUUAAUGUGUGGUUUACUACCGC
Ostrinia furnacalis (Asian corn borer) is the source of this 3864-nucleotide RNA transcript. RefSeq lists it as uncharacterized. The record is from RefSeq and is a predicted model, not a curated record. The transcript is spliced from 2 exons. NCBI's taxonomy places the organism in Eukaryota, Metazoa, Arthropoda, Insecta, Lepidoptera, Crambidae.